UUGACUUGGUCAAAAUCAGAAACAUGUUUUAGGUCGUGUUUUGUGUUCAGUCGAUCAAAAAGGGGCUCCAAGAACAAAAUAGGCGUCGUCCUCUUCACAGAUCGGGAGAGGGAAAAAUCGAGUGAUUAAGCAGCGAACGGAGGUGGUCUCGGUGGUGGUAAUCGAUCGGAAUAAGCGAGUAUCUCCGGUGUUUGGCCGAACCAAAGGAAGGAAGGAACGAGGCAGCGAGAUUUUGCUCUUUCUCUUCCGACAGGCAGAUGCGAAGAGAGGAGGUGAGAUCGGCGACGAGGGGGUUUGUCUUCGGGGUUUGACGAAACCGAAGAGACAGAGGGAAGAUGGGAGGCAGAGAGGAGGUCGAUCGAAAGUAGUGGCAGGUUGGAUCGGUGAGCAGUGGUAGGGAGGUAUAGCUGAUCUCCGGGGAUUCCUCGUAAUUUCGUUUCUCGUCUUCAGCAGUAGAACACAAAGAAGGAGUUGGUGUUCACCAGGAAGAAGGGGAAAACGGGCUUGAUGUCCUCUUGGCUGCUUCGAUCGGCAUCAACAUACGAAGGGGGAGGAAGGACUUCGGUCCUCUGCCUUUGUUUGAUCCAGAUGAGGAAGCAGGUAAAAUCGAUGGGUGUUGUAGAGGUGUUUGGGUUUGUUGUUUGCAUAGGAAAUGGGAAAAAAGAAAAGAAUCGGGAUUGUUAUCCCUUUGAUUUACUGUUUUUACAACACCACCUUAACUGGAACGAAAGAGAAGAAAGAAGGAAACUCGAUGUGGAUUGGUGAUUCACAGCUCUAUUUGAGGAAGGAAAACACGUUUCUUUUUAGUGUUCAGUUCUACAAAACAAGAUCUAGAAGAAAUCAGUGAUGGGUUGUACAACAAUUGUAUAAUUUAUUUGUAUUGUAAUAGUUUCAUUUUUGUAUGUAACGUGUUUGUAUUGAUUUAAUUAAAUAUGUAUUUGUGUA
Molecule: long non-coding RNA, 945 nt
Organism: Lactuca sativa (garden lettuce)
Lineage: Eukaryota; Viridiplantae; Streptophyta; Magnoliopsida; Asterales; Asteraceae
Source: RefSeq, a predicted model, not a curated record